Taeniopygia guttata (zebra finch) is the source of this 5948-nucleotide non-coding RNA. The record is from RefSeq and is a predicted model, not a curated record. Lineage: Eukaryota; Metazoa; Chordata; Aves; Passeriformes; Estrildidae.
GUGCCCGGGAGCGGCGGUGCCCGGGAGCGGCGGUGCCGAGCUGCCGUGUCCCGCUGCAGAGCGGCCGAGCGCGGCGCCUCAGGGCGGCGGCUGAGGCGCUCGCACAGCGCCCGGCGGCACCGCGCUGCGCAGCGAGCUUUCUGAGCUGAAAGGCACCAGAGGACUUUCUGGGACAGGAUAAUAGACAGACUGAGGACACUGCCACCUUGGCGUGAGGAAAGCUGUCUAAGCAGAAUCGAGUGACUCUGGGAGCACUUGUUGAGCUUGAUGUUCAUGCUGAGGAUGUUCUUGCAUCUCUAGUAAGCAAAAAAGGCAAAGAUGAGAGUGACUUUGAAUGGUUAAGUCAGCUUAGGUGCUGCUGCGAGUCAGACAAACAUUGCACCCAAAAAGCUAAAGCUGAGUUGAGCUCAAGGAAAGUAAAAAAUUUCUGUGGAUGGUCUAAGAAAGAAACAAGCAAACCUGAGGGAAGUUCAAGAUAAAUUUGCAGUGCUCCAGCAGACACUGGAAUCCAAGAAACAAGUGAAAGCUGACUUGGAAAAUCAGAAAUAUGAAGAUACAGAACCUGAAUCCCAGCUGCCAUUGUGCAUUACACCAGUCAUCCCCAGGGAAUGUUUGGUGUAAGCCCCUUGUGAUGAUUUUAUCCAGUGAAGGCAAGAAGCUCUCAGCAUAGUCCAGCAGCAGCUGAAGAAAGCCACAAGACCAGCAAAGGCAGAGAUAAUACCAAUGGUGGAAGAAUUUAUCAUUCAUAACCUGGGCCCUCCAAGCACUGAUACUAGUAGUUUCUCCUGGUGCUGACUCCAUGUCAGCCCUUCUUCAGAUCAGGUAUUUUAAUCUCUUUUAGUGUAGUUGAUGUUUCUGUGUGCGCAUGUGAGUGUAUUUGUAUGAAGCAAGGAAUUUCGUUUAACUAAAAGCUGCAAUGCCAAACCAAACCCAAAACCUGUUUUUAACUGCCCAAAAAACAUGGUAAAAUUGAUCUCAUGCUUCUCUUUAACACAAGGCACUAACUCAUGCAUAUGAAUUGUUUUCAGGAAUGAAUAUUUCUGUUGUUUAAAAGAAACUGUAGGAUAAAUAGUUUAUCAUCUUGUGAUGUCAUGACCUAUUUUGUGUCAUUUCAAAUGGAAAAUGCAAAAAUGGAACAAAACCAUAAUAGUUUAAAUGUUUCUUGUAAGCAGUCUUAUCUGAAAAUGCUAUUUUUUUUCAAACAUGUGCAAGGUAUUAUUUAAUCAAAACCACCAUAGUAAUAUAGGACCCUGGAGUCCUGGGUGGAAUUUAUACAUCAGAAUUGAAAUAUGGAUUUUGUUGGGUUUUUUUUUUUGCUUUGACUGUUGUUGUGGCAUUUAAAACAAACAAACAAAAAAUUCCCAACAGCCCAAAUCAGUUCUUAUGUAGAAAAGUACUGCUAGAAUACUAGAAAGUAAGAUUAUACAUGUAAUAACACAUUUUAAGAUGUAUUUCUUGCAUUUCCUGCCUAUAAUUCUGUCAGAAUUCUGUGCUUUGAGAAUGACAGGUACACUUCAAGUCUUCAGCCACCAAGCUGUAAAGGUAUUCUGCAUUUUAUAGUAGGCUGUGUCUACAUUGUUCAAGAGAACACUGUUUGCAGAAAUGUUCUGAAACUGUCAGAAUUGCAUAGGUCCAGAUUAAAUGUAUGGGUAGUUGGAGCUUUUCACUGGGAGAUACACAAGAUGUGGCAUGACAUGAAAGAAAAUAUUUAAAUUGCAUUUUAAACUAUAGAGUACAUUAAAUACCCAAUACCCACUAUCUGAUCCUGACUUUUACAAUAAGUGCAGAAAACCUGUGAGUAAUGUUGCAACUUUGUAAAUCGGUUAAAGCCAACCCUAAUGAACGGGUAUCUGUGAUCUGUGGGGAGAAGGCCUCAAAAAUUAAAUAAUUGUGUUCCACUGCAAGGAAAACAGUUUCAAUUACUGCCAGUAGUGGAAUAAAUUUAUUUUUUAUUUUAUUGCUUGUCUCAUACUUCAUCACUUGAAACUUACUGCUAUAGCAUUAAUAAUACAGCUCUCUAGGUGUUUUUUUUUAAAAAAGGUAAGAUUGGGAAAACCUAUCCACUGUUUUAAUAAUUUGAUGUGUCUUUGCAAUCACAUUUUACAUUAUUUUGCAUUAUUUUUCUCUAAUUAAUGUAGCUUAUCUAAAUGAGAUUGAAUAUUUACCUAAAUGGUCCGACUUGAAAACCAAAUCAAACAUUUCUACCUGAUGUCUUUAUGUAAAGGCCAGAAAUCUAACUUGGUAAGGAGAAAAAAAAAAGCUAAAAUAUUGUAUGAACAAUAUAAUACAGUGUAUAUACAAUAUAAUACAGGUGUUUAAAAAUUUACAGGUUCAUGGUCUCAUACAUACAGUUGUACGUAAUGUAUAUAAUAAAAUAGCCUUAAAAACUAAAAUUGCUUAGAGGUUUUAAGAGACUCUGGAAUGAUGCUCGUGACCAUUCAAAGACCUCCUGCUGAAGGGGCUUCCCCUGCCUCACAAAGUGUGUGAGCAGGAAGAAGCUGGGCUCAGAGUGGCUCAGCUCUGCUGUGCAGGACAGGAGAUAAAAAGUUAACUAUUCCUGCAAGGUGUAAAACAUCCUACGGGCACCCCUGAUGGCUGGCUGUGAUUUAUUCAGUUCCAGGGACAAGACCAGCCCCUGGACUGCUGCGGAGUGAAAGCAGCAGGGAUCCAGCUGAGGAGCUCUGACAGAGGCCGUUUCCUUCCCUGCCUGCAGAGGUGGGUUCUGCCCAUGGAAGCCUUUCGGGAAUUUGCCAGCGAUACAGGGCAUUUCUUCAUGUUCAAACUUCCUAAGCAGCCCAGCAUGGCCAAAGUCUGUCAAAGUUAUGGAUGGGCAGGAACAGGGGUGUUCCUUUCACUGUCAGCCUACAGUGAUUUCGGUUAUUAAUGUGGUUAACAGGCAAAUUCAAGCAAUAAUGUGAUUAACAGGCAAGUGAUCAAGCAACUUCACCAAGGUGUUUCUUUCCUGAAGGACAGUGGGGAGUAAAGGGCAAGGUUGUGAAGGGGGGUAUCCUCCUAUCACAUGACCAAAGGUUCUGAACAAAUUACAAAUACAGAUUGUAUAUAUAUAUAUAUAUAUAUGCAAACUAUAUAUAUAACAAAUAUGUAUUUGUAAUUCUGAACAAAUUACAAAUAUAGUUCCUAGCAGGGAGGGAACCUUUUUUUGCCCUGAAGGAUAAUGUAUGUAGUAAACAUGUAGUGGUACUUUUUUUGACUGGUUUUCUUCAUCCCAGUUCUCAGUUCUCUUGCCUUUCUGCAAAUAAUUUUCUUUUAUCACUCAUAAUUUUUCCUUUUUAUGCACCUAAGAGGAGUCCAGCUUCUCCCAACCUCAAGAAUUUAAGCAUACUUGAUUUUCGAAAUAAAUAAAUAAAUUUUAAAAACUAUGAGCACUGCUAUGGCCUUGUGAUAGCAUACAUUUAUUUUAGAAAGAUGUCAAACAAGUAGCAAUAAUUUUGGAAAAGUUUUCCAUAAACUUGUAUCUAGGGAGUUUCAGCUGCAUUACUAUGGAAUUUUUUGGUGCUAUUAUUAUUCAAAAGCAGGAAUGGCUGGGUGACUUGAGGGAUUAUUAUUAAAAAGUAUUUGAAGGGCUGGAGAUGAAAUGGUUCAAGCAUGAACUAGCAGAAGUAAUUAACAGCUUUUAAACUUUGCAGUGAGAAUUCUGGCUGUCUUCCAAGUGAAUUACAGUGAUACUGAUAGGGCUGCCCAGGGAAGUGCUGGGCUGCUGCUCAGAUCACUGUCCUGUUUUCCUGCAGGAGCUGCCAGCUGAUGCUCCUCACUGUCAGCUGGGGAAUGCAAUUACAGUGCCAGGGGCACUGACACUGGGAUUGGCUCUGUAAGUGUUCUGAGGAUGUUCUUUUCCUCUAAAAUCAUUACAAAUGUCAAUUAUGUACUGGAUCCAAGUGGUGUUUAUUUUGCCUCUCCUGAAGGAGAUGUAUGUCAGAACAAUAGAAUUACCAACACCUUUUUUUUUUUUUAAUAGAUGUAAUCUUUACUGAAACUGAUGCAUUUCAGUGUUUACUCAGUCACUGUUUGCUUGCUGGCUUAAUCUCACCUUCUAUCAGAACUUGUUUCAGUGACUUCUAAGAAAGGGACAUUAUGUAAACACCACCCAAUUACUGUCAUCUAAAUUGACUCUGUGUGAGUCAGCACUCAGGGGACAGUAAGUGAGAAACACAGCUCAGUGAAGUUAAAAGCAUUUUAAAAUAGGCAUAAGAGAAAUAGCUCAUUAUAACUACUGGAGGCAGAAAGGCCACAAUAAUCAGCUUAAUUAGCACAGGAGUUGUGUCAGUCAUCAGCAAAACACCUUCAGGCACUUGGCAGGCAGUGGGCUCAGAGAGGGGCUGCAGCCCCUUACACUUGGAAUCUCAUUUUAAUAGAAUUUUCGUCAGCUCCCAGAAUUUUUCAGGAAUUGUAUCUUUGUAUCUCUUAUAUCUUGGUUAACACACUUCAUUCAUCACUCUAGGAAAGCCUGUGAUGGUUUUGAAGUACAGCUUGUGGCCUCUUGUGGGCUGGUUGGCUGCUUCUGCAUCUUUUUUUUUUUUUGGUCUAGAGGUAUUUUUCCCCACCUUGUCUCAGUACUGCAGCUGUACUGAAUAUACAAAGACACUUGCACAGAAUCCUUUCCCACAGAUCUUUGACUGCAAAUGCUGCUAUUACCAAGGAUCAGUCAGGAACACAACUGCUAUUUGAUGACAUUCUUACACAGGUAUGAUACAAAGCCACACAUCCUUACCUUAAUUUCCUACUGUGUAUCCAUGCUGGUAUGUUCACAUUCCCUCCUGAGUUUUCACUGUACUUUAUUGUGUUGUAUCUCCAUUCUGGUGAAAUUACUUUUCCACUUAAAACAUUCUUAAGACUUUUUUUUGGGGAGGUUGUAUUGAGCAGUCCAAUGACUACAGGAUCAGCCAGAUGAUCACAGUAAUUUUCUAUGGAAUCCCCCAAUCCACUGUUCUUGUUUUUAGUAUUGCUCCUACCUGACUGACCUAGACAUAAAUGUUGGACAGAGCAUUUAUGUUGGUUUUUAAUUGUUUAAGCAACCCUGUUAAGCAAAGUACUUUGACACCCUCCUUUUCAGAAUUUCUUCUAGGGGCUUGUAGUGAUGUCUGCUGAACUGAAAGGAAUACUAAAACACAAAAGUAAUCACACCAUAAGAAGCUCAAGAGAAAUAUCUGCUCCUUGAAUAUUUUUUUUUUUAUUUUCUGAAGGCUCCUUAUGUAUAAGGAACACACAUAAAAUGAACACAACACUGUUGACAAUGAACAAAACAGCAUUUGAUAAUUUCCAGCUUUAUAAAAUUUUUUAAAAAUGGUUUAGUUAUAACAAAAAAAAAACCCCAAUAGCUCAGCAAGUUAUCUUAUUGGACCAUUAUCACAUUUUAAACCAUAGACUCAGUUAAUGGGGAGAGGAAAGAAAAAAUAUUAAAAAAAUAAUCACACUGCAUCUAGCAACUACAACAUUUUCUAAGCAUAAUCACAGCGGAUUGAGUGCAAUGUGAUUUACAUCAGAAUUCACAUGGGAUGUCACACAGUGACAGCAUUGUAAAAUAUACAAGUAACAUUUAUGCCCUCCAACAAAUACAAGUUAAAUGAGACUCUGGAUUCAAGCCAAAUGGAAUGUUGAAGCCAAGUAGAAAUGUAGUGGAAUUCAGAUUGUCUGUAACAUGACUCAGAAGUGUACAUUAGAAUCAUCUGGAAUUCAAUACUGGUGGAAACGUAGAGAGGUCACAGCUUUUACACUGCUCUGUUACAUUUGCAAUAAAUACUAGAAAAUAAAAGUAAAUCUAUGUUCUAUGAAAAAUACAGUACCUACCUUCAACGACCACGUUUUUCCCUUGUCUGAAGAUGGUCUUGGAAGGAAGUUAACUAUUUUCCUACAGAGGCAGUGUACUGAGCUAUAACCACAUUCCAACUAAUACAACAGUAAGUAUACUACUGGAAAUACAGAAAUCUUCA